RNAcentral lists this ribosomal RNA (477 nucleotides) under uncultured Planctomycetales bacterium. RNAcentral describes it as "bacterial SSU rRNA". It matches the Rfam family "Bacterial small subunit ribosomal RNA", at positions 366 to 833 of the family's 1533-position model. Lineage: Bacteria; Pseudomonadati; Planctomycetota; Planctomycetia; Planctomycetales. The record is from RNAcentral.
UCGCAAUGCCCGAAAGGGUGACGGAGCGACGCCGCGUGUGGGAAGAAGGCCUUCGGGUUGUAAACCACUGUCGGGAGUUAAGAAAUGCAAGAAUGUUAAUAGCGUUUUUGCUUGACUAAGGCUCCGGAGGAAGCCACGGCUAACUCUGUGCCAGCAGCCGCGGUAAUACAGAGGCGGCAAGCGUUGUUCGGAAUUAUUGGGCGUAAAGAGCACGUAGGCGGCUAUAUAAGUCGGUUGUGAAAGCCUUCCGCUCAACGGGAGAACAGCAUCCGAUACUGUAUGGCUUGAGUGUGGGAGGGGAGAGCGGAACUUCUGGUGGAGCGGUGAAAUGCGUAGAUAUCAGAAGGAACGCCGGCGGCGAAAGCGGCUCUCUGGCCCAUAACUGACGCUGAGUGUGCGAAAGCUAGGGGAGCAAACGGGAUUAGAUACCCCGGUAGUCCUAGCCGUAAACGAUGGGCACUAAGUAGAGGGGUUUUU